GAAAUGCGAUAAGUAAUGUGAAUUGCAGAAUUCAGUGAAUCAUCGAAUCUUUGAACGCACAUUGCGCCCGCCAGUAUUCUGGCGGGCAUGCCUGUCCGAGCGUCAUUUCAACCAUCAAGCCCCCGGGCUUGUGUUGGGGACCUGCGGCUGCCCGCAGGCCCUGAAAACCAGUGGCGGGCUCGCUGUCACACCGAGCGUAGUAGCAAUCACCUCGCUCAGGGCGUGCUGCGGGUUCCGGCCGUUAAACAGCCUUACAAAACCCAAGGUUGACCUCGGGUCAGGUAGGAAGACCCGCUGAACUUGAGC
RNAcentral lists this unclassified non-coding RNA (306 nucleotides) under plant metagenome. RNAcentral's name for it is "partial contains 5.8S ribosomal RNA, internal transcribed spacer 2, and large subunit ribosomal RNA". The stretch from base 1 to 105 matches the Rfam family "5.8S ribosomal RNA", at positions 50 to 154 of the family's 154-position model. The record is from RNAcentral.